This 506-nucleotide ribosomal RNA is filed under the name uncultured bacterium. Its description in RNAcentral is "partial 16S ribosomal RNA". It matches the Rfam family "Bacterial small subunit ribosomal RNA", at positions 30 to 523 of the family's 1533-position model. The record is from RNAcentral.
AUUGAACGCUGGCGGCAGGCCUAACACAUGCAAGUCGAGCGGCAGCGGAAAGUAGCUUGCUACUUUGCCGGCGAGCGGCGGACGGGUGAGUAAUGUCUGGGAAACUGCCUGAUGGAGGGGGAUAACUACUGGAAACGGUAGCUAAUACCGCAUAACGUCGCAAGACCAAAGAGGGGGACCUUCGGGCCUCUUGCCAUCAGAUGUGCCCAGAUGGGAUUAGCUAGUAGGUGGGGUAACGGCUCACCUAGGCGACGAUCCCUAGCUGGUCUGAGAGGAUGACCAGCCACACUGGAACUGAGACACGGUCCAGACUCCUACGGGAGGCAGCAGUGGGGAAUAUUGCACAAUGGGCGCAAGCCUGAUGCAGCCAUGCCGCGUGUAUGAAGAAGGCCUUCGGGUUGUAAAGUACUUUCAGCGGGGAGGAAGGCGUUGAGGUUAAUAACCUCAGUGAUUGACGUUACCCGCAGAAGAAGCACCGGCUAACUCCGUGCCAGCAGCCGCGGUAA